CCAGUGUGGACAGUGGCAACCUGGGAGCUCCGGGCCCAACAAAAGGCAAUAGCCACUGCUGGGCUCUGAGAUUACUGUCAAUCAGGAAUGUGGGCUCAAGGGCCCGAUUCCUUGUUUUCUCAGUUGUUUGUUUUCUGAGGCAGGGUCUCAUUCCAUUGUCCAGGCUGGAGUGCAGUGGCACAACCCCAGCUCACUGCAGCCUCGACCUCCUGGACUUAAGCAAUCCUCCCACCUCAGCCUCCAGAUCAGCUGGGACCACAGGUGUGUGCCACCAUGCCUGGCUAAUUUUUGUAUUUUUUUAAUAGAGAUAGGGUUUUGCCAUUCUGCUCAGUCUGUCUUUGUUUGGCUUUAAGACAAAAGAAGAAAAUCCAGAUUUUUAUUUAUAAUCAUCUACCUUUUUUCUUUCCUUUAGCUAAUUCACAGCUUUAAAAUCGUUUGGGUUUGGCUGAGUGAGGUGGCUCAUGCCUGCCAUGCCUGCACUUUGGGAGGCCGAGGUGGGUGGAUCACCUGAGGUCAGUUCAAGACCAGCCUGGCCAACAUGGUGAAACCCCAUCUCUACUGAAAAUACAAAAGAAAUUAGCCAGGUGUGAUGGUGCAUGCCUGUAAUCCCAGCUACUUGGGAGGCUGAGGCAGGAGAUUUGCUUGAACCUAGAAGGCGGAGGUUACAGUGAGCCAAGAUCAUGCCACUGCACUACAGCCUGGGCGACAGAGUGAGACUCCAUCUUAAAAAAAAUUGUUUGGAUUCAAUACAACACAUCUGAAGACCCCACUGCAUUAAUUCUAUUCUGAAGUCACUUGGGGAGAUGUCUCAUAGCUGCUCAAGAGGAACCCAAGACCAGCAUCGUGAUUCUAAAGUGAUGCCAUAAUGAGCCCUCUUGGGGCCCCUGGUGUUGCCAUCUUUCCACAUGCUCACUUCUGCUGGGAACCUGCACUCUCCAUCAACUCCUCCCUUCAACUCCUGCUGGAUCCAUUUCCAAAUCCCUAUCCACUGACUCUCAGAACCUCUCCUGAUUCAAGUCCUCUGUUCAUCUCCUGGACCUGCCUGACUGCCUUCUUCUCUGCAUGUGCCUGGGACAAGCACCAUCUCUGACAGCACCAUCACCUCGUUGCCUGUAGUCUGGGACAGACCUGUAAGGAAGAGGCUCUGGAGCAGCCGACUAAAGCUAACGGAAUGGUUCCUGUGCAUGGAGAGAGCUGCUGUUCCACCACCAUGUGAUAAAAAAUAAAUCUCUUUACAGAUGAGUAGAAAAAAGCCUGGAGAGGGAUGUGUCAUCUCUCAUCUCAAGAAUGGGGUAUGGAAUUGACUGUAGAGAGAAGGGGUCCCCCAGAGGGAUAAACAGUGAGCUGUAGUUUUCAUGCUCUGUAGUUUGAAAACAGAUAAACCUCCAGAAACAGAAAGACAAGAUUAGAACAAAAUGAGUCAUUGGAGGUUUUCUUUUUUAAAACAAGUAUAUUGAGAUAUGAUUGACAUACAAAACCUGUACACAAUUAAUGUAUACAACUUGAUAAGUUGUAUUUUUGUUUUGUUUUGUUUCUUGAGACGGCCUUGUUAUGUUGCCUAGGCUGGUCUUGAACUCCUGGGUUCAAGCAAUCCUCUCACCCUGGUCUCCAAAAGUGCUGAGAUUACAGGUGUGAGCCACCCUAAUGACUUUAGAUUAAGUAUAUACUCGUGAAAUCAUCUCCAUAGUCAAUGCCAUAAACAUAUCCACCACCUCCAAAAGUGUCCUGCUCCCUUUAUUUUUUUUUAACUUGUGUCUUUCUUUUAUAGCAACUGGUAAUCCCACUCCUGGAUCUACAUACCCAGCAAUGGAAAUCAGGAUCUCGAAGAACUAUUGUCACUCCCAUGUUUAUUGCAACAUUAUUCUCAAUAGCCAAUAUAUAGAAAUGACCAACGUGUCAAUAGCAGAUGAGUGAAUAAAGAAAAUAUGCUACAU
Molecule: long non-coding RNA, 1934 nt
Organism: Callithrix jacchus (white-tufted-ear marmoset)
Lineage: Eukaryota; Metazoa; Chordata; Mammalia; Primates; Cebidae
Source: Ensembl